Gallus gallus (chicken) is the source of this 1673-nucleotide long non-coding RNA. Lineage: Eukaryota; Metazoa; Chordata; Aves; Galliformes; Phasianidae. The record is from Ensembl.
CAACAGAAAGUUUCCACCUGUUGCACCUCCAUGUCCUUUAAAUACAUUCUGUACGAUACUCUAAAGUCUAAAGCGUUGUGAUAAGUUAACAUUAAUAGCAACAGUAGUGUGUUAAUGUAUAGAUAAAGGCACGAAUUCUUGAUAUUAUUUGGAUUUAUGUCUUUAAUAAGCACACCACGAUCAGAUUAUGCUCCUUUUACUUCCUAAUACAGUAUCAGGUUGAGUGAUUGUACCAGCUAGCUAAGAUGAACUGCAGCUUCCAUGUUUGCACAUGUAAUAUUUGCACAUUUAAUGGUCUCUGUUGAGUCAUGUCCAUUAUCACAGACAUUUGCAUACCUAAGCCCCUGGAAACAGUCAUCAAGCAGAAAGCUCUGCUUAAUCUUAAAGAGAAGCCUUUGCCCUCCCUCUUCCACAGUUAGAUCAGAGAUCAUACUUUGAUGAUAUUGCCUGGAAGCUUCCAGGUAAGAGUUCUGAGCAGCCUCUCUGUGAAGUGGAGCAGGAGGCACAGUGGCAGUGUGUGAGCUUGAAGAGAUGCCCUGGCCCCCCAGGGCUAGGCAGCACCUGAAUAAUACUUAGAGCGUGUAAAAAUUGCUGUGCCUUAAGUGGGUAGCAAACAUCUCAAGAAACUGAGGCUCUGAGCUUUAGUCCCUGGCUGUUAAUGUCUGCAAUUCUUCUUUCUUCUGGACUGUGUCUGCAACACUCACUGUUAUUUGUUUCACUGUACUUUCACUGUGUUGAAGAUUUGGUCCACAACCAUUAGAGCUAGAAGCGUUCAGUUUUAAUUGGAAAUUGACUCAAAUUAAACCAUACAACUCCUGUUCAACAAAGGCAUAUUAUUCUUGCUGAGCUUGCGCUCUGAUGACUGAUGUAUCUGUAGCUCUGUGGCUGAACUCUCAUACAGGCAGGAUCUAUCAGCACUCAUUGGAAAGAACCAGAAGGAAGCAGAGUAAGUUCUGGGGUUUGUUUUGCUGUAGAUAUUGCUGUUGCUUUCAUGUAAUUUCAGUUUUUAGCUGGGGCAAAGGAGUAUUUUAUGAUGGAAGAGCAACACAAAUUGGGCACAAAAUACUCUGAAUGGGAAGAAGCUCAAUACAACCAGAAUUGUUGAUACACACUGUUGAGUGUCAUAGGUGAACUAUAUGGGGAGAACAGUUACAGUGAUUCUCUUUGUUGGACAAUUUCUAUGCAGUGAUAGAGCUAAAAGAACAAAAUAAAGCAGUGGAAUGGGAGUGGAGGUAGACCCAGCACUGGCACUAUUUGCUCUCUUACAGUUCUGCCCACAGGAGAUGUGAAAAGAACUUUGUCCCUUUUGUGGCUGUGGGAGUGCGUGGGGUCAAUGAGGUAAAAGUAGGGAUGGCAAGGUUGAGUGCUCCUCAUCUGCUGUUUGUGUAAGGAUGUCAUGCUUUUCCUAUUCAAUACGCUGGCUUCUGAUAAACUGCUUUGCGUGUCAGCACCUUAUUUGUAGGGAAAGACUUAUUGGUUGGUAUUAUUGUUAAUGACCCUGAGGGAUAACACUUAAUUGCCAUGAUUCUAGGGGGGGACAUGAGAUGGUGAUGGCUACAUUUGAUGAUGUCAUGCUUAUCUUGGUGACAGUGCCUGGCAAAUGUCUUAAAAGAUCCCAAGACAGAAUACAACCACAGUUUCAGUACUGACAAACUGUCCUCUGAAUGACGACC